Long non-coding RNA from Pezoporus flaviventris, 308 nucleotides. RefSeq lists it as uncharacterized. Lineage: Eukaryota; Metazoa; Chordata; Aves; Psittaciformes; Psittacidae. The transcript has 2 exons. The record is from RefSeq and is a predicted model, not a curated record.
UAUCUGUGCAGGACAAGGAUGAAAAAGCUCAGAAGAGACUCCUACCUACCAUGUGUCCUACAGUCUCUGAGGGUGGUUUCUAGCUGAGUACCUUCAAUGCAGCUAGACUGCAAGCAAACACCUCUGUUUAGCUUUGAUCAUGGAUUACACUGGAGUGGAUAAGCUGCGUAACAAGAGUUCAUCAAGGAUCCUUUGGAUGCAGGGUCUCUGAAGCAUAAACAAGCAGGUUGUAUCGUGACGAGCUCUCAGAAUUAAUCUGUUUCCUAUUCAUUCAAUGAAAAAAAGAAUAAGCUUUUCUCAUUCUAGAA